Molecule: long non-coding RNA, 1544 nt
Filed under: Drosophila guanche
Lineage: Eukaryota; Metazoa; Arthropoda; Insecta; Diptera; Drosophilidae
Source: RNAcentral
AUAGAAGAAAAAAAAUAGAAAAGAAAAUUGUUCAAUAAUAUUAAAUAUUCCUAGACAUUAACUUAGAAUAGAAGAAGAAAAACAUGAAAUUUAUGCGUAGUUAAUAAUAGAUUCUAAAGGGUGCCUGAUCGGUCUCAUUGUGUCCAUGGAAGGGUAUUGGUAAAAUACCUCUUCAUAACGCUUCUUGUUAUUUUGCAUAUUUCUACAUUUCUUUAACAGUUAGAACGUGAAAUUGGGCCCAACGACACCAACAGCUGUUUAAAAGUCUGUAAGUAGACACACAUAUACACACAUACACUCCGGGUCAGGAGAAUAGCGUCUACACAGUGAGACAUGCAUGCUUAACCAUAUAUAAGAUGAAUUAUUAUUAACUAUAAUCACUACAAUUAUGCCAUUUAAUUCAUUUAAUUAAUUAAUUCUUACUUUAUAUUUUGAUUAUAUUAUUUUUAUUCAUAUUUGAUCAUUCUCUUGAAUUCCUAUGUAUUAAAUUAGUCCCACAUAUAUAAUACACAUGCAGUAAAAAUAGUUUUAAGGGUUAGGGUAGAAAUAAUGGGGGUUACAAACAACCUGAAGUCAUACAAGUCAAAGUAAAAUUAUAACGAUUUAACAUGAAUUUCUAAUCUGAUUUUUGGGAGGGGUUCCGAAGGCACAUAGGCAGCAGCGGCAGGUUUUGGGUAGAACCAUAAUGGCAUAUUCUUAUGUUAUUCUACAUGGAGGGUGGGUCAAGAGGGAAGAGCACAUCCACCUUGCUCUUCACAGUAGGUAGUGGACCUUAAGUUCCGUCCGGGUUUGUAAUUCCGAUCCCAGUUCCCGUAAAUCUGUCUACGAUUUUGUUAGGUGACGGAGUUCGUUUUCGCAGCACACCACCCACCCCAUUUUCCCUGAGCCUAGCCGGCAAACUUUUAGUAGACAGAGAGUGCUGACGAGACGACACUUCCCGUGUCCGUUACAAUAUAAAUUGGAAAUGGGGAGUGCUAUGUCUAGUCAUCUCUUUUCCUUUAUAUCUUAGAUGUGAAAUUCCAUGCUCUUUUAGCAUCUUAAAGGGUGCUUUUGUGGAAAAUUUGGUCACAUAACUUUCAGGUAAAUAAUCCAAAGCGGCUCAUUGACCUUAACACUUAAAUAAAGGACUACCUUUGUUCCAAAUUAUGUUUUUUUAAGUUUACAUCCAUUGAUCUUGUACUCAAAUCCUAUACAUAGAUCUUCAACCUUGGUGUAUCCAAUCGCCGGUUUUAUCUCGUUAAGUGUUUCUAGGAACGCCUAUGCAUGUACAUGUUUAAUGAAGUUUUCUUUCUCCUUUUAUAUAUCAAAAAUACAAAAUGCUUACAUACCAUUAUAAAAAUGAAACUAUUCAAACUACACAAUGUUUUAUACUAAAUUAUUUAAUCAUGAGUACAUAAUCUUUUAUACUCUAUUUCGUCUUUUUCUCUAAAAUGAUAUCUAUGCUGAUUGGUUGUUGCGUUAGGUAUAUAGUUGUAAUCAUGUAAAAGCCAGAUAUGAGAAAAGGAUUUCAAAUAUUAUACUUUUUACAUAUACAUAUACGUAUG